RNAcentral lists this ribosomal RNA (499 nucleotides) under uncultured Glomeromycotina. RNAcentral describes it as "partial small subunit ribosomal RNA". It matches the Rfam family "Eukaryotic small subunit ribosomal RNA", at positions 591 to 1092 of the family's 1831-position model. The record is from RNAcentral. Lineage: Eukaryota; Fungi; Glomeromycota.
CCAAUAGCGUAUAUUAAAGUUGUUGCCGUUAAAAAGCUCGUAGUUGAAUUUCGGGAUCAAGGAAUCGGUCAUGCCUCGGUAUGUACUGGUUUUAUUGGUUCUCACCUUCUAAAGAACCAUAAUGUCAUUCAUUUGAUGUUAUGGGGAAUUAGGACUGUUACCUUGAAAAAAUUAGAGUGUUUAAAGCAGGCUUACGCUUGAAUACAUUAGCAUGGAAUAAUGAAAUAGGACAUCAGAUUCUAUUUUGUUGGUUUCUAGGAUCGAUGUAAUGAUUAAUAGGGAUAGUUGGGGGCAUUAGUAUUCAAUUGUCAGAGGUGAAAUUCUUGGAUUUAUUGAAGACUAACUACUGCGAAAGCAUUUGCCAAGGAUGUUUUCAUUAAUCAAGAACGAAAGUUAGGGGAUCGAAGACGAUCAGAUACCGUCGUAGUCUUAACCAUAAACUAUGCCGACUAGGGAUCGGAUGAUGUUUAUUUUUUAGUGACUCAUUCGGCACCUUACG